GUGAGGAAUAUUGGACAAUGGGCGCAAGCCUGAUCCAGCCAUGCCGCGUGCAGGAAGACGCAUCUAUGGUGUGUAAACUGCUUUUGUACGGGAAGAAACACUCCCUCGUGAGGGAGCUUGACGGUACCGUAAGAAUAAGGAUCGGCUAACUCCGUGCCAGCAGCCGCGGUAAUACGGAGGAUCCAAGCGUUAUCCGGAAUCAUUGGGUUUAAAGGGUCCGUAGGCGGUUUAAUAAGUCAGUGGUGAAAGCCCAUCGCUCAACGAUGGAACGGCCAUUGAUACUGUUAGACUUGAAUUACAAGGAAGUAACUAGAAUAUGUAGUGUAGCGGUGAAAUGCUUAGAUAUUACAUAGAAUACCAAUUGCGAAGGCAGGUUACUACUUGUGGAUUGACGCUGAUGGACGAAAGCGUGGGGAGCGAACAGGAUUAGAUACCCGAGUAGUCC
Molecule: ribosomal RNA, 445 nt
Filed under: uncultured bacterium
Lineage: Bacteria
Description: partial 16S ribosomal RNA
Rfam family: Bacterial small subunit ribosomal RNA
Source: RNAcentral